Molecule: ribosomal RNA, 493 nt
Filed under: uncultured bacterium
Lineage: Bacteria
Description: bacterial SSU rRNA
Rfam family: Bacterial small subunit ribosomal RNA
Source: RNAcentral
GACGAACGCUGGCGGCGUGCUUAACACAUGCAAGUCGAACGGGAUAUAAUCGGGAGUAAUCCUGGCUAUAUCUAGUGGCGGACGGGUGCGUAACGCGUGAACAAUCUGUCCCUCCGAGGGGGAUAACAUCUGGAAACAGAUGCUAAUACCGCAUGGGACCACGUCAUCGCAUGGUGAUGGGGUGAAAGGGCUUCGGCCCGCGGGGGGGUGAGUUCGCGUCUGAUUAGCUGGUUGGUGGGGUAGAGGCCCACCAAGGCGACGAUCAGUAGCCGAUCUGAGAGGAUGACCGGCCACACUGGAACUGAGAAACGGUCCAGACUCCUACGGGAGGCAGCAGUGGGGAAUAUUGGGCAAUGGGCGAAAGCCUGACCCAGCAACGCCGCGUGAGGGAAGAAGGUUUUCGGAUCGUAAACCUCUGUCGCAGGGGACGAGUAGAUGACGGUACCCUGUGAGGAAGCUCCGGCUAACUACGUGCCAGCCGCCGCAGUAAAAC